CCUACGGGAGGCAGCAGUGAGGAAUAUUGGUCAAUGGGCGUAAGCCUGAACCAGCCAAGUCGCGUGAGGGAUGAAGGUUCUAUGGAUCGUAAACCUCUUUUAUAAGGGAGUAAAGUGUGGGACGUGUCCUAUUUUGUAUGUACCUUAUGAAUAAGGCUCGGCUAACUCCGUGCCAGCAGCCGCGGUAAUACGGAGGAUCCGAGCGUUAUCCGGAUUUAUUGGGUUUAACGGGUGUGUAGGCGGCCUUUUAAGUCAGCGGUGAAAGUCUGUGGCUCAACCAUAGAAUUGCCGUUGAAACUGUGGGGCUUGAGUAUGUUUGAGGCAGGUGGAAUGCGUGGUGUAGCGGUGAAAUGCUUAGAUAUCACGCAGAACCCUGAUUGCGAAGGCAGCCUGCCAAGCCAUGACUGACGCUGAUGCACGAAAGCGUGGGGAUCAAACAGGAUUAGAUACCCCAGUAGUC
This 460-nucleotide ribosomal RNA is filed under the name uncultured bacterium. RNAcentral's name for it is "partial 16S ribosomal RNA". It matches the Rfam family "Bacterial small subunit ribosomal RNA", at positions 338 to 795 of the family's 1533-position model. The record is from RNAcentral.